This 290-nucleotide signal recognition particle RNA is filed under the name Phascolarctos cinereus (koala). RNAcentral's name for it is "Metazoan signal recognition particle RNA (ENSPCIG00000008463.2)". It matches the Rfam family "Metazoan signal recognition particle RNA". Rfam says of the family: The signal recognition particle (SRP) is a universally conserved ribonucleoprotein. It is involved in the co-translational targeting of proteins to membranes. Lineage: Eukaryota; Metazoa; Chordata; Mammalia; Diprotodontia; Phascolarctidae. The record is from RNAcentral.
ACCAGGUAUGGUGUUGCACUUCUGUAAUCCCUGGCUAGCAAGGAGGUUGAGGCUGGUUUAUCUUUUGAUGAGAAGAUCGGAGGUACAGUGGGCUGUGCCAGUCAGGUGUCCGCACUAAAUUUGGCACUGAUGUGGAGAGCCUCUGAGAUCAGGGACCUACUAGGUUGCCUAAGAAGGGGAAACCAGUUCAGGUUGGAAAAGGAGUGGGUCAGAGAUCCUAUGCUGAUUAUUAGUGGGAUUAGGCCUUUGGGUAGCUGUUGCAUUUCCAAUUUUGGGGAAAACCAGUCUUU